UUGUAAUCUGAAGAAGCGUCUUCUGUGUUGGACCGUGUACAAGUCUCUUGGAACAGGGCGUCAUAGAGGGUGAGAAUCCCGUCUUUGACACGGACUACCAAUGCUUUGUGAUGCGCUCUCAAA
This 123-nucleotide ribosomal RNA is filed under the name Thelephoraceae sp. RNAcentral describes it as "partial large subunit ribosomal RNA". It matches the Rfam family "Eukaryotic large subunit ribosomal RNA", at positions 143 to 261 of the family's 3401-position model. Lineage: Eukaryota; Fungi; Basidiomycota; Agaricomycetes; Thelephorales; Thelephoraceae. The record is from RNAcentral.